Neotoma lepida (desert woodrat) is the source of this 128-nucleotide small nucleolar RNA. It matches the Rfam family "Small nucleolar RNA SNORA40". Rfam says of the family: The snoRNA ACA 40 belongs to the H/ACA family of snoRNAs and guides the pseudouridylation of 28S rRNA subunit at position U4565. NB This family has a high threshold value to exclude a large number of closely related sequences that do not appear to have conserved H and ACA boxes, and may be pseudogenes. Lineage: Eukaryota; Metazoa; Chordata; Mammalia; Rodentia; Cricetidae. The record is from Rfam.
AGCACUUGUGUAUGUUUUUGUUCAACUGAUGGACAAAGGCAGGCUAGACAGGUGCAAAAAUAAAUCCUCUUUUGCAACCCAGAACUCAUUGUUCAGUAUGAGUUUUGAUACAUACAAGAAGGAAUAUA